This 74-nucleotide transfer RNA is filed under the name Pteropus alecto (black flying fox). It matches the Rfam family "tRNA". From Rfam's summary of the family: Transfer RNA (tRNA) molecules are approximately 80 nucleotides in length. Their secondary structure includes four short double-helical elements and three loops (D, anti-codon, and T loops). The record is from Rfam by way of RNAcentral. Lineage: Eukaryota; Metazoa; Chordata; Mammalia; Chiroptera; Pteropodidae.
GGCUCUAUAGUGUAAUGGUUAGCACGUCUGCUUUGCACGCAGAAGGUCUUGGGUUCAUGCCCCAGGUGGAGCCA